Triticum urartu is the source of this 900-nucleotide long non-coding RNA. RefSeq lists it as uncharacterized. The record is from RefSeq and is a predicted model, not a curated record. NCBI's taxonomy places the organism in Eukaryota, Viridiplantae, Streptophyta, Magnoliopsida, Poales, Poaceae.
CAAAGUCAGCCACAACCUCCCCUCCAAAAAGAAAAAAACCUAGGUCACGGCCGCCCCCAAAUCUACAUCCCGAUCCACCCGUGCCCUCCACCAUCCCGCCGCCGCCCCCAACCAUCCCGCCGCCGCUGUCGCACCCGCCAUCCCAUCGACGCGGACAGCCCUCCACCCCGACCACUGCCGCCGUCGCCCCUAACUACCCAACAGCAGCGCUGGCAGCACCCCACUAACCCGGACCACCACUGUCGCCGAGCCACUCAACCGGCGACUACCCUCCUCGAAUGCCUUCCCUCGCCACCACUCUACUUCGCGAGAUUCCUCCCCCGAGCAGGCUUCCUCCCUAAGACGAUGGAGCCAGUAGUUCUUCUGAUGAGGUGGGUGAGUGCAAUGGUGUUGGUGUGUUCUUCGGAUGAGAUUGUGUCUGCAAUGUUGUUGGUGUGUUCUUCAAAUGAGAGAAGAACAAGUAGUUGUUUCUACAGAAAGCUUUACGAAGUGAAUUCAUUAUUGCUUGAAGUCUUGUGUAUGGAAGGGAAAUUGGACAUUCUGCUCACUGUGUACUAAUCAAAAUUAGGAAGUAGACAAGUCCGCGGCAAAAGCAGGAAUUCGACCACAAGCAUGCCGAGUAGGUUUCGCAAAGGUACACAAGUUGAUGGAGGUUUGGAAGAUCUUCAAGCUGUUGAAGAUUUGGAAGACCUACAAUGAAGUUGGUGGAGUGAUAAUGCCAUAUGUCUUAUUUGUUGAAUCUGGAGAUUGCUAUGCUUAUUUUGGUUGUGGCACAUCUAGAAAUUUAUGUACUACUUUUGUGGUACUACUUCAUUUUUGUAGUCUGGCACAUCUAGAAACAUAUAUGUACUUCUCCUUUUGUGGAAAAACCUUGUGUUUAUUGAAUAUAUUUUAAGGUUC